RNAcentral lists this ribosomal RNA (253 nucleotides) under uncultured bacterium. RNAcentral's name for it is "partial 16S ribosomal RNA". It matches the Rfam family "Bacterial small subunit ribosomal RNA", at positions 524 to 776 of the family's 1533-position model. The record is from RNAcentral.
UACGGAGGGUGCAAGCGUUAUCCGGAUUUACUGGGCUUAAAGGGUGCGUAGGUGGGUUGGUAAGUCAGUGGUGAAAUCUUCGAGCUUAACUCGGAAACUGCCAUUGAUACUAUUAAUCUUGAAUUAUCUGGAGGUAAGCGGAAUAUGUCAUGUAGCGGUGAAAUGCUUAGAUAUGACAUAGAACACCCAUUGCGAAGGCAGCUUACUACGGAUACAUUGACACUGAGGCACGAAAGCGUGGGGAGCAAACAGG